CAAAACUGUUUUCGGUUUUGAUCAUUGAGGUUUUAAAUCUGAUUGAAUCUGAUGCUAUGUUGCUAGAAUUGUUUGACCGUAUAUACGAUUGAGUUCAGUACUCAUGUAGUGUUAGACACUUAGACUAUACAAGUAUCAUGAGCCGGUCGACCAACAAUCAAACAAGAACAUGAUCGGCAAACCAAUGAUACCGCAUAGCUUUAAUAUCCACCACCCUUCACAAGCAAUCCCUCAAACACAUACAGGCCAACGUCAGGCCUACACUAACCAAAUACACACCAAGCCUAGUCCGAUACCUAAACCAGACUUAGGACUUAAUGUCAGAACCUGCAAACAAAUCAAUCAACAACCAAACACAAUCAUAAUGAUAAGAUACUAUGAGUAAC
This 386-nucleotide long non-coding RNA is filed under the name Brassica napus (rape). RNAcentral's name for it is "long non-coding RNA (BNAP_LNC016478)". Lineage: Eukaryota; Viridiplantae; Streptophyta; Magnoliopsida; Brassicales; Brassicaceae. The record is from RNAcentral.